GUCUCAGUGCUGACUCCCACAUAUGAAUUCUUAGAAAGCUGAACAAAAUGAGCAAAAAAUUCUCUACUGCCAAAAUGAGUGAU
Callithrix jacchus (white-tufted-ear marmoset) is the source of this 83-nucleotide small nucleolar RNA. Its record names the gene SNORD116. It matches the Rfam family "Small nucleolar RNA SNORD116". From Rfam's summary of the family: HBII-85 is a member of the C/D class of snoRNAs, which contain the C (UGAUGA) and D (CUGA) box motifs. HBII-85 is encoded in a tandemly repeated array with another C/D snoRNA, HBII-52, in the Prader-Willi syndrome (PWS) region of chromosome 15. Lineage: Eukaryota; Metazoa; Chordata; Mammalia; Primates; Cebidae. The record is from Ensembl.